UUCUCGGCGGGGACCCAAGUACCCCUGGUGGGUGUGCUCGGGCCCGGCCAUCCUUCUGUAAACUUUCGCGCGUCCUUCACCGGUCGGCAAAGGGAUCAGAUAAUUUACCUUGAGAAAAUUAGAGUGUUUCAGGCAGGCUUAGCCGGAAUACAUUAGCAUGGAAUAAUGGAAUAGGACUGAGGUCUCGUUGUUGGUUACGCGGACUACAGUAAUGAUUAAUAGGGACAGUUGGGGGCAUUAGUAUUUAUUAGCUAGAGGUGGAAUUCUCUAAUUUGAUAAAGACUAACUUAUGCGAAAGCAUUUGCCAAGGAUGUUUUCAUUAAUC
RNAcentral lists this ribosomal RNA (325 nucleotides) under uncultured eukaryote. Its description in RNAcentral is "SSU rRNA". It matches the Rfam family "Eukaryotic small subunit ribosomal RNA", at positions 645 to 978 of the family's 1831-position model. The record is from RNAcentral.